UGACCUGUGAAAGAGCAUGUAAAAACAUGUAAAAUGUUUUGGAGAUCAGAAAUCUGAAAUGAGUAUCAUGGGCUAACAUUAAAAUGCUGACAGGGCUUCAUUCCAUCUGGAGACUCCAGAGAAGAAUCCAUUCCCUUCCCUUUUCCAGCUGUUAGAACCCAAACUUUCUAUUUUAAGGUAAUUUUAACUUAAUCUUCCUAUCUUGAGGUCAACUGAUUAUCAACCUUCUUCAACCUUAAUUUUUCUUUGCUAUGUAAUCUAACAUAUGCACAGGUAGUGGGAAUUAGAACAUGGGACACUUUUGAGUGGCCAUGAUUGUGCCUUCCAAAGUGGUCAUAAUGUAUACAAUUCAGUUGUGAAUGAUAGAAAUAUGUUUUUCUAGAGAACUUGAAUUGUAAUGGUACUUAAAAGUGACGGGGCAUUGAUAAAACCAUUCUUCACUAUAAUGAAGUAUAUACAUGCAUGCAAACGCACACACAUAUAUAUGUAUAUUCUCACUUGAAAAUACAGAUAGAUAUCAUGAUAAUCUCAAAUUUCAAAUAUAGCCAGGCAACAAAAAUUUAACACAUUUUAAAGAAAUGUUAAAAGUUAUAAAAAUAGACACUAAACUUAAUAGAAAAUUAACUUCAACUCUAUUGAGUUGUUCAAAAAAGUAGAAGAUAAUUUAUAAAUUACUACAAUAAUACAAAGCUUUCAAAAAUAUGAAUUUAUUUUAAAAUAACAUCUAUAAAAGUAAACCCACAAAUUGAUAAAAUAGUUUUAAGAAAAAUCUCAAUAUAAGUAGCUAACAUAGAGGGUAACAACACACACUGGGGAGACGCUCGAGGGUGAAGGCUGGGAAGAGGGAGAAGAUCGGGAAAAAUCAACAAUGGGUACUAGGCUGAAUACCCGGGUGAUGAAAUGAUCUGUACAACAAACCCCCGUGACACAAGUUUACUUAUGUAACAGACCUGCACAUUUACUCCCGAACUUACAAAAUAAAUUAAAAAAAAAAAGUAAAAAUAAAUAGCAAAAAUGCAUAACAAAAACUUAAAAAAUGAAUGCUUGGUGAAUUUAAAGAUUGGAUUCAUGCAUUCUGUUGGAUAUCCAUUCCAAAGAAAAAAGACAAGAAAUCUAUGCGAGUAAAGUUAAGAAAUGUGGAUGAAAACCUAAAACAGUCAGUGUUCAUCUAAUAGGUGUUAAAGGAGAUAACUGAGAAUAGGGCAAAAGUAGGAUGAUAUGAAAAAUCUUAUUUAUUUAAAAAACAAAAAGGUUUACAUCUUAGAAAAUGAAGGAAUCCAAAUAAUAGCAAGCCUAAUUUUAUGACUCUGCGUAAAUACAUUCUAAAUUUCAUAAUUUCAGGAAUAAGAGAUAAUAUUGAUGUUAUCAGAGGAAAAGUGAAAAACAAGCACAUAUCACCUACAACAAUGAAAUGAUUAGUUUGACAUUUGUUUUUCGCUAUCACUAAUGGAGUUAAAGGACAAUAAAAGAAUGCCUUCAACAGUACAAUUGUUUUUAAUUUAACAAUAUUUACCGGUUACAUUUUUAGAUGUGUGAUUAUUUAGAGUUGUAAAACUUGUGAUGAUUCAGUAGUCAUGUGACUACUAAGAAAUAACUUAUUGAAGGUACACUGGAAAAACAAGCAAACAACAUAAUCAAUCAAAUGAACAAAGAAAUGUAAUUUUGAGAAUGAAAAUCGUCAUAUAAAGUACUUUUGAGCAAGAAACAAAUACAACUUAUAUGUUUAAAGAUAAUUGGUAAUAUAACUGUAAAGUUUUAAAAAUGGUAAGAAAUAUUUUCUUAAAAAAUGUAGAGAAAUAAAUAAAAGAUAGUUUUAAUUUUAUCUACUGGAUUAAAAUUACAAGUCAUAUAGAAGCAACCAUCAAACAUGAAAAAAUGCUCAACACCACUAAUCAUCAGAGAAAUGUAAUUCAAAACCACAGUAAGAUAACCAUCUCAUACCAGUCAGAAUGGCUCCUAUUAAAAAGUCAAAUAACAGCACAUGCUGCUAAGGCUCUAGAGAAAAGGGAACCCUUACCCGCUGUUGACAGGAAUGUAAAUUAGUUCAGUUCCUGUGGAAAGCAGCUUGAAGAUUUCUCAAAUAACUCAAACAGAACUGCCGUUGGGCCCAGCAAUCCCAUUCCUGAGUAUACAUCCAAAAGAAAAAGACACAUGCACCCAUAUGUUCAUCACAGCACUAUUCACAAUAGCAAAGACAUGGAAUCAACCUAGGUGCCCAACGGUGGUGGAUUGGAUAAAGAAAAUGUAGUUCAUAUAUACUAUGAAAUACUAUGCAGCCAUAAGAAAGACAAAAUCAUGUCUUUGCAGCAACAUAGAUGCAGCUAGAGGCCAUUAUUUUAAGCGAAUUAACACAGGAACAGAAAAUCAAAUAUCACAUGUUCUCACUUAUAAGUGGGAGCUAAACAUGGGAUGCUCAUGGAUAUAAAAAUAGCAAGAAUAGACACUGGGGACUACUAGCCUGGGAGGGAAAGAGAUGGGAAAGGGUUGAAAAAGUACCUAUUUGGUACUAUGAUCACUACCUGGUUGAUAGGAUCAUUUGAACUCCAAACCUCAGCAUCAUGCAAUAUAUCCUUGUAAGAAACCUGUGCGUGUAUUCCCUGAAUAUAAAAUAAAAGUUAAAAUAUAUUUUAUUUUUAAGAAAAAUCAAAAAGAAUUACAGGUCAUUUCAACAAAAUUUUUAAGAUGAUGAGGGAGAAGUUAAAUACCACAAAAACAUUGAUUAGUUUGGUCCAAGAUAGGAAAUGUGUAUGUAAACUCUCUCUCUCUAUAUACACAUAUAUAUUUAUAUAGGAUAUUUAUAUUUAUAUGUCAUAUAGAUAUUUGGUAGAGACAAAAUAUCUGUCUAUUAAUCUAAAUGUCAAUAUAUAUUAAUGAUGUUGAGGCAGUCAUUUGAAUAAUGGAUCAACAGCCUCAAUUCAAAUAAUCAAUGGAAUAGUUUUGAAAUUGGACUAUGAAUAUUCUCAUUUGUUUUUGUCCUACUUUCUGGUCUUGGAGAGCAAGUUUUUUGUUCUUGUAAUAAACAGGCAUGCAUGAAUAAAAUACUCACAUAUAAUGGAUUAUACAGA
RNAcentral lists this long non-coding RNA (3065 nucleotides) under Homo sapiens (human). Its description in RNAcentral is "HSALNT0057925". Lineage: Eukaryota; Metazoa; Chordata; Mammalia; Primates; Hominidae. The record is from RNAcentral.